GAUAUGGCAAAGAAGAGGAAAAGUAAGCUGUAAGCUUUUCAGCAGAGAGAAAACCACAGGUGGAAGGUUUUUGUAAAGCGGCGGCCCAACCGGCCUCGGAGCCUUAUGCGAAAGAAAGACAUGCCGUGAAGAGUUGUUUUUAAGUGACUGUGUGGGAAACGGACAGUUACAUUUUGGGCAUAUGCUUUCCCCAAGCAUAACGUAAAUCCGGCGUUAACGGAGCAGUUGAGAGAAUACGCGAAGGCGUAUUAAACAGGGUGGUACCGCCGGUUUUCCGGUCCCUUUG
Molecule: non-coding RNA, 286 nt
Filed under: Clostridium sp.
Lineage: Bacteria; Bacillati; Bacillota; Clostridia; Eubacteriales; Clostridiaceae
Description: T-box sequence
Rfam family: T-box leader
About the family: Uncharged tRNA acts as the effector for transcription antitermination of genes in the T-box leader family. T-boxes are found upstream of many aminoacyl-tRNA synthetase genes and some amino acid biosynthetic genes usually in Gram-positive bacteria. The anticodon of a specific tRNA base pairs to a specifier sequence within the T-box motif, and the NCCA acceptor tail of the tRNA base pairs to a conserved bulge in the T-box antiterminator hairpin.
Source: RNAcentral